UGUUUAGUAUAAGUAUGUCCCAUGCAAUAUCUGGGACAUACUUAUACUAAAA
Molecule: microRNA precursor, 52 nt
Filed under: Nomascus leucogenys (northern white-cheeked gibbon)
Lineage: Eukaryota; Metazoa; Chordata; Mammalia; Primates; Hylobatidae
Description: mir-1302 microRNA precursor family
Rfam family: mir-1302 microRNA precursor family
Source: Rfam by way of RNAcentral